This 523-nucleotide ribosomal RNA is filed under the name uncultured bacterium. RNAcentral's name for it is "bacterial SSU rRNA". It matches the Rfam family "Bacterial small subunit ribosomal RNA", at positions 777 to 1297 of the family's 1533-position model. The record is from RNAcentral.
AAUAGAUACCCAGGUAGUCCACGCCGUAAACGAUGAGUGCUAAGUGUUGGAGGGUUCCGCCCUUCAGUGCUGCAGCUAACGCAUUAAGCACUCCGCCUGGGGAGUACGGUCGCAAGACUGAAACUCAAAGGAAUUGACGGGGGCCCGCACAAGCGGUGGAGCAUGUGGUUUAAUUCGAAGCAACGCGAAGAACCUUACCAGGUCUUGACAUCUCCUGACCGCCCUGGAGACAGGGUCUUCCCUUCGGGGACAGGAUGACAGGUGGUGCAUGGUUGUCGUCAGCUCGUGUCGUGAGAUGUUGGGUUAAGUCCCGCAACGAGCGCAACCCUUGGUUCUAGUUGCCAGCAUUCAGUUGGGCACUCUAGAGCGACUGCCGGCGACAAGUCGGAGGAAGGUGGGGAUGACGUCAAGUCAUCAUGCCCCUUAUGACCUGGGCUACACACGUGCUACAAUGGAUGGUACAAAGGGCAGCGAAGCGGCGACGCAUUAGCGAACUCCCGACGAAAACCAUUCUCAGUUCGGU